GACGAACGCUGGCGGCGUGCUUAACACAUGCAAGUCGAACGAGACGAUUGGAAGCUUGCUUUUAAAAGUCGAGUGGCAAACGGGUGAGUAACGCGUAGACAACCUGCCUUUGAGAUGGGGACAACAGUUCGAAAGGACUGCUAAUACCGAAUGUUGUAUAUUUUCCACAUGGAAGACAUAUUAAAGAUGGCCUCUAUUUAUAAGCUAUCGCUCAAAGAUGGGUCUGCGUCUGAUUAGCUGGUUGGUGGGGUAACGGCCUACCAAGGCGACGAUCAGUAGCCGGUCUGAGAGGAUGAACGGCCACAUUGGGACUGAGACACGGCCCAGACUCCUACGGGAGGCAGCAGUGGGGAAUCUUCCACAAUGGACGAAAGUCUGAUGGAGCAACGCCGCGUGAGUGAAGAAGGGUUUCGGCUCGUAAAGCUCUGUUGUCGGGGACGAAUGUGCAGUAUUUGAAUAAAGUACUGUAAUGACGGUACCUGACGAGGAAGCCACGGCUAACUACGUGCCAGCAGCCGCCGUAA
This 524-nucleotide ribosomal RNA is filed under the name uncultured bacterium. RNAcentral's name for it is "partial 16S ribosomal RNA". It matches the Rfam family "Bacterial small subunit ribosomal RNA", at positions 28 to 523 of the family's 1533-position model. The record is from RNAcentral.